This 387-nucleotide ribosomal RNA is filed under the name Agrilus viridis. RNAcentral's name for it is "partial 12S ribosomal RNA". The record is from RNAcentral. Lineage: Eukaryota; Metazoa; Arthropoda; Insecta; Coleoptera; Buprestidae.
UUUAAAGAGCGACCGGGCGAUGUGUGCAUAUUUUAGGGCUAAAUCACUUUUAUAAAACAACUAAAAAUUACUCUCAAAUCCACUUUAUAAGAAAUAUUUAAAAAUCUUAACCAUUUAAAUAAACUUAUUGUAACCCACCUCUCCUUGUAUAUAACUGCAUCUUGAUCUGAUUUCAUUCCUAAUAAAGAAAAUUGACUAUUUAUAUUCUAAUAAAAAAAUCAACCACGACGAUAUACAAGCCAAUAAAUACAAGUAAAAAUAAUCGUGGACUAUCAAUUACAGGGCAGGUUCCUCUGAAAAGACUAAAAUACCGCCAAAUUUUUUUGUUUUCAAGAAAAUAACUAAUACUAACCUGGCAAAAAAUUUUACAUUUAAAAUAAUAGGGUA